GUGAGAGUUUGGAAAACAAAAAUCUUGGAUUAAGUUUGGAUCCUGGCCCACAUUGUACCCCUCUCAUGAAGCACGUGCCAUUCCGAUUUUAAAAUAAUGGGAAGAACGCUACGGCACCGCUCACUGGUGAUAUGACUCUCAAACUGUCUACAGAUUGCCGAGUAAGUGAAAUGUUUUGACAGAGAGAAAUAUGUGUUGUCAACAUUGCUUUACCCAUGGUUGA
RNAcentral lists this long non-coding RNA (223 nucleotides) under Mustela putorius furo (domestic ferret). RNAcentral describes it as "lncRNA (ENSMPUG00000032050.1)". The record is from RNAcentral. Lineage: Eukaryota; Metazoa; Chordata; Mammalia; Carnivora; Mustelidae.